RNAcentral lists this ribosomal RNA (301 nucleotides) under uncultured bacterium. RNAcentral's name for it is "partial 16S ribosomal RNA". It matches the Rfam family "Bacterial small subunit ribosomal RNA", at positions 509 to 807 of the family's 1533-position model. The record is from RNAcentral.
CAGUCGCCGCGGGAACACGUAGGUGGCAAGCGUUGUCCGGAAUUAUUGGGCGUAAAGGGCUCGCAGGCGGUUUCUUAAGUCUGAUGUGAAAGCCCCCGGCUCAACCGGGGAGGGUCAUUGGAAACUGGGAAACUUGAGUGCAGAAGAGGAGAGUGGAAUUCCACGUGUAGCGGCGAAAUGCGUAGAGAUGUGGAGGAACACCAGUGGCGAAGGCGACUCUCUGGUCUGUAACUGACGCUGAGGAGCGAGAGCGUGGGGAGCGAACAGGAUUAGAUACCCCCGUAGUCCCUGUCUCUUAUAC